RNAcentral lists this ribosomal RNA (502 nucleotides) under Agromyces indicus. RNAcentral describes it as "bacterial SSU rRNA". It matches the Rfam family "Bacterial small subunit ribosomal RNA", at positions 1034 to 1533 of the family's 1533-position model. The record is from RNAcentral. Lineage: Bacteria; Bacillati; Actinomycetota; Actinomycetes; Micrococcales; Microbacteriaceae.
ACAGGUGGUGCAUGGUUGUCGUCAGCUCGUGUCGUGAGAUGUUGGGUUAAGUCCCGCAACGAGCGCAACCCUCGUCGCAUGUUGCCAGCACGUUAUGGUGGGGACUCAUGUGAGACUGCCGGGGUCAACUCGGAGGAAGGUGGGGAUGACGUCAAAUCAUCAUGCCCCUUAUGUCUUGGGCUUCACGCAUGCUACAAUGGCCGGUACAAAGGGCUGCGAUGUCGUAAGGCGGAGCGAAUCCCAAAAAGCCGGUCUCAGUUCGGAUUGAGGUCUGCAACUCGACCUCAUGAAGUCGGAGUCGCUAGUAAUCGCAGAUCAGCAACGCUGCGGUGAAUACGUUCCCGGGCCUUGUACACACCGCCCGUCAAGUCAUGAAAGUCGGUAACACCCGAAGCCGGUGGCCUAACCCUUGUGGAGGGAGCCGUCGAAGGUGGGAUCGGUGAUUAGGACUAAGUCGUAACAAGGUAGCCGUACCGGAAGGUGCGGCUGGAUCACCUCCUUU